AGCCGGGUCCUGUGCAACAAAGAAUCAUGAACUCCGCCAGGUCCGGAAGGGAGCAACGGUAAUGACCCUCUUUGUGUGCCACAGGGUGCCCGGCUAUC
Molecule: signal recognition particle RNA, 98 nt
Filed under: Deltaproteobacteria bacterium
Lineage: Bacteria; Pseudomonadati; Myxococcota; Myxococcia
Also listed under: 1 other name
Description: signal recognition particle sRNA small type
Rfam family: Bacterial small signal recognition particle RNA
About the family: The signal recognition particle (SRP) is a universally conserved ribonucleoprotein involved in the co-translational targeting of proteins to membranes. Archaeal SRP consists of a 7S RNA and homologues of the eukaryotic SRP19 and SRP54 proteins. In most bacteria, the SRP consists of a 4.5S RNA and the Ffh protein (a homologue of the eukaryotic SRP54 protein).
Source: RNAcentral